Molecule: long non-coding RNA, 358 nt
Filed under: Medicago truncatula (barrel medic)
Lineage: Eukaryota; Viridiplantae; Streptophyta; Magnoliopsida; Fabales; Fabaceae
Description: lncRNA gene47818
Source: RNAcentral
AUGAUCCUUUUGUUUCAUUAUUGCUACGUUUCCAAUUGUUUGAACUCAUAUUGCCGUGGCUUCUUUCUUCUUUUUAAAGUUUCCAUUUUCUCACAGAAGUUCUAACACUGUCGUGCCAAUUUUUUCAGUUGCUGGGAAAUUAAGUUGUGAGGACGUGGUUGAAGAGGUAGAAGAAAGAAAACAAGAACCCACACCCCCCAUAAUACCGGCACCACAACCCCCGCCUUGUGAUUGAACCUAUUUUUAUUUCUUUAUUUCGCAUUUUAUUUUUAUUUAUUUUCUAUUCUUUCAUGCAUAUUUAUUUAUUUAUGUCACUUAUUUUAUUUUUAGAGCAUGGAUGUUAGAAUGUAAAUUAGGC